UGACGGAAGGGAUGGAACGGUGAUUUGGA
RNAcentral lists this non-coding RNA (29 nucleotides) under Homo sapiens (human). Lineage: Eukaryota; Metazoa; Chordata; Mammalia; Primates; Hominidae. The record is from RNAcentral.